This 528-nucleotide ribosomal RNA is filed under the name Triticum aestivum (bread wheat). RNAcentral's name for it is "partial small subunit ribosomal RNA". The record is from RNAcentral. Lineage: Eukaryota; Viridiplantae; Streptophyta; Magnoliopsida; Poales; Poaceae.
AUGGAGGCGGCAAGGGGGGAUCCCGACGACCCCCUCGUCGCCGUCCGCCCCGAGCGGGUCGGCGGGUGGUGGGCGCGUAACCAGGACUUCAUACGGAGACGCGCGGAGACGCUGAGGCGACCCGCCGCCCGGGCGGUGGCCGAGGCCGAGGCCGAGCGUAGCAGAGAGCCGCCGGCCUCCAAGAACUCCAUGGCGGGACUGCUCGUGCCGGCGGCGGCGGAGGUGCGGGAUCUGGAGUGCGCGGUGUGCCUGGAGGACCUGGUGGCCGGAGGCAGGAAGCUCAGGAAGAUGGACUGCUCCCACUGCUUCCACCAGCGCUGCAUCUUCCGCUGGCUGCACGUCAGCCGGCUCUGCCCGAUGUGCCGCUUCGCGAUGCCCUCCCGGCCCGACGGCGAGCACGUCGGCGACGACGUGGAGCGGGAGCUCGCGGCCGAGGAGGAGGAUGCUGCUGACGAAGAAAAGCCUGCGGCAACUGAAGAACGUUCAUCCAGUGAGGUUUUUACAAACUGCAAAUCAAAGAGGCACUAG